UGAUUGACGAUGGAUCACCAGUGAGUGGCGGACGGGUGAGUAACACGUAGGUAACCUGCCCCGGAGCGGGGGAUAACAUUUGGAAACAGAUGCUAAUACCGCAUAACAACAAAAGCCGCAUGGCUUUUGUUUGAAAGAUGGCUUUGGCUAUCACUCUGGGAUGGACCUGCGGUGCAUUAGCUAGUUGGUAAGGUAACGGCUUACCAAGGCGAUGAUGCAUAGCCGAGUUGAGAGACUGAUCGGCCACAAUGGAACUGAGACAUGGUCCAUACUCCUACGGGAGGCAGCAGUAGGGAAUCUUCCACAAUGGGCGCAAGCCUGAUGGAGCAACACCGCGUGAGUGAAGAAGGGUUUCGGCUCGUAAAGCUCUGUUGUUGGAGAAGAACGUGCGUGAGAGUAACUGUUCACGCAGUGACGGUAUCCAACCAGAAAGUCACGGCUAACUACGUGCCAGCAGCCGCGGUAAUACGUAGGUGGCAAGCGUUAUCCGGAUUUAUUGGGCGUAAAGCGAGCGCAGGCGGUUGCUUAGGUCUGAUGUGAAAGCCUUCGGCUUAACCGAAGAAGUGCAUCGGAAACCGGGCGACUUGAGUGCAGAAGAGGACAGUGGAACUCCAUGUGUAGCGGUGGAAUGCGUAGAUAUAUGGAAGAACACCAGUGGCGAAGGCGGCUGUCUGGUCUGCAACUGACGCUGAGGCUCGAAAGCAUGGGUAGCGAAACAGGAUUAGAUACCCCUGGUAGUCCAUGCCGUAAAACGAUGAAGUGCUAGGUGUU
Molecule: ribosomal RNA, 771 nt
Filed under: uncultured bacterium
Lineage: Bacteria
Description: bacterial SSU rRNA
Rfam family: Bacterial small subunit ribosomal RNA
Source: RNAcentral